This 310-nucleotide long non-coding RNA is filed under the name Mytilus galloprovincialis (Mediterranean mussel). Lineage: Eukaryota; Metazoa; Mollusca; Bivalvia; Mytilida; Mytilidae. The record is from RNAcentral.
GUUGUUUUAGUCAUCUUAAUUCGUUUUUGACAUUUGUCUGGCUAACAUAGUGCUAAAAUUCCGAUUUUUUAAUUUUUUCACAAUUUUCAUCGAUUUUUUGUUAAAAUUAAUGUUUUUAGCCCAAAAAUGGGGAUUUCCGAUCGUACGAUUUUUCUAGACUUUUAAUAUAUGAUUGCGUCAUGCUUUGGUAUUACAAAACUGUUGAAACCAUUUCUGUUGCAAUUUGUUUAGAUUUAUGCAUUAUUUGCCGUAGACAGACUAGACUACCAGCUUGGUAUUUAGGGAUUGAGAUGUCUUAUAUAUGUUUUUU